GCCUUCGUGGUGUAGUGGUCAGCACACUUGGCGCGUAUUCGAGAGGUCCGCGGUUCGAGUCCCGGCGAGGGCA
This 73-nucleotide transfer RNA is filed under the name Stegodyphus mimosarum. It matches the Rfam family "tRNA". Rfam says of the family: Transfer RNA (tRNA) molecules are approximately 80 nucleotides in length. Their secondary structure includes four short double-helical elements and three loops (D, anti-codon, and T loops). The record is from Rfam by way of RNAcentral. Lineage: Eukaryota; Metazoa; Arthropoda; Arachnida; Araneae; Eresidae.